RNAcentral lists this ribosomal RNA (404 nucleotides) under uncultured bacterium. RNAcentral's name for it is "bacterial SSU rRNA". It matches the Rfam family "Bacterial small subunit ribosomal RNA", at positions 917 to 1322 of the family's 1533-position model. The record is from RNAcentral.
GGGCCCGCACAAGCGGUGGAGCAUGUGGUUUAAUUCGAUGAUACGCGAGGAACCUUACCAGGGCUUAAAUGUAGUAUGACCGGUCUAGAAAUAGGCCUUCCCUUCGGGGCAGAUUACAAGGUGCUGCAUGGUUGUCGUCAGCUCGUGCCGUGAGGUGUUAGGUUAAGUCCUGCAACGAGCGCAACCCCUAUUCUUAGUUGCCAGCGGUUCGGCCGGGGACUCUAAGAAGACUGCCAGCGCAAGCUGAGAGGAAGGUGGGGAUGACGUCAAAUCAUCACGGCCCUUACGUCCUGGGCUACACACGUGCUACAAUGGCCGAGACAAAGAGUCGCAAGUUUGCAAAGACAAGCUAAUCUCAUAAACUCGGUCUCAGUUCGGAUUGUAGGCUGCAACUCGCCUACAUG